UACGAAGGUAAACAGGAAUCGUUUUUCCUUUUCUGAGAGGUAUGUAAUCUACAGGGGAAGCAGGCAGCACCUGAAAGGGGAGGAGAGGUUGGUGGGCCAUGCAGGGUUGAAGGAGGAGCAUAGGAACAUGGGUCUGGGAAAGUUUGGCUAGCUUUACAGUGCUCAAUUGAAAUACUACUUUGGAAUAUUUUCUCAACACCAGGGUUCAAGUUUGUUAGUCCUACUGAGACAUCAGGUCAGAAGAAAAGAACAAAAGUGAGAAGGCAUUCAUGGCUUUGCAUUCUCAGAAAGACAUCCUGCUGGUUCAACUGUAGUUUUAACGUGAGCUCUCCUCGGGCCUGGGAGAAAUUCUGAGAAUGACCCCUGUGAAUGAGCUCAGUGGUGAGAAGUCCAAGGACAGGAUGAGGUCGACAUUGCAAGUGUUUUUGGAAUAAGAAUCAACACACUUAAAGACUGGGAUUUGGAAGUGAGAAGGAGUACCUGGAAGUGAUUCAGGAAAACAAGGAAAUGAGACACAAGUGGCAACAUUUGUCAAAGUUCUAUGCAUUUGUUCCUUUGGAUUUAAGUGAAACAUCUGGAGUCAAUUCUUAACCCAAUGUUGGUUUGUUGUCACCAACCUCUUUGCCCUGCUAUUGGUAAAUAUAUUACAUUUCUGUAUGUUAUAUGCCCACAAAUACAAUUAAAAGUAUACUGCUUUAUGAUUUUUAAACAAGAUAAGAAAAGAUAAUAAGCAAUUAUACUCCUUUAUAAUUGCAUAAUUACCUUUAUCAGUGUUCUUUGU
Molecule: long non-coding RNA, 781 nt
Organism: Camelus dromedarius (Arabian camel)
Lineage: Eukaryota; Metazoa; Chordata; Mammalia; Artiodactyla; Camelidae
Exons: 4
Source: RefSeq, a predicted model, not a curated record